UAAUAAAACUACUGUCUCCCACACAGCCGGCUCUGCAUGAAUUGCUCUUUAUUGCAAUUCCCCUGUCUUGAGAAAUCGCUUCUGUCUAGGCAGCGGGCAAGGUGAGCCCAUUGGGCAGUUACAAGGAGACACGGAGACACAGAGACACAAAGACAGACACACAAAAAAGAGACUGUCAUGUGAAAAGACAGACACACAGAGAGAACAUCGUAAGAAGACAGAGGAGGAGAUUGGAGAGAAGCAACUGUAAGCCAAGGAACACCAAAGACUGCAGGAAACCCCAAAAACUAGGAACAGGGCAUGGAACAGAUUCUACCCAUAUUCUCAGGAAGAGUCCCUGCCAACACCUGGAAUUCAAGCUUCUGGAUUCCAGAUCGAAAAAACCUGGGCUUAGAUAAUGAUUACGCCAAACCACUGGAUUCAAGAAAAAGCUCGUCAUGCCCAACUAUUGCAUGACAGUAUGUGAGAGCCAACCGACUAAAGAUAUUUUAGGAGAAUAAAAUAUUUGGAGAGCAUUGGAGUAAGGACUGUCAUUCCUGGAAUGGAAGCAUUUAAUUAAAAUGACCAUAAGCCUGAAGUGACUGGGGCAUGGGAAUAUCCUUGAUGAGAAGAUAGUGAAGCAUGUAACACCCUGGGAUAGAUGGUGCUGAUGGAACAUUUUGAGGAGACCCAAGUUGUUGGUGGAGGUGAUGGGAGACUCAGGACAACAGAAAGUAUGGGAUUUUCAAUGCUGCAGAAAUGGGGCUGAUAUGGUUUGGCUCUGUCCCCACCCAAAUAUCACCUUGAACUGUAGCUCCCAUAAUUCCCAUGUGUGGUGGGAGGGACCCAGUGGGAGGUAAUUGAAUCAUGGGGGCUGGUUUCUCCCAUGCUAUUCUCAUGAUAGUGAGUAAGUCUCACGAGAUCUGAUGGUUUUAUAAAGGGGAGUUUCCCUACACAAAUUCUGUCUUGCCUGCUGCCAUGUAAGACGUGACUUUGCUCCUUAUUCACCUUCUGCUGCGAUUGUCCUGGAGGCUGGAAGCCCAAGAUCAAGGUGUCGACAAGGCUCGUGCUUCCUGAGGCCUCUCUCCCUGGCUUGUAGAACCCAUCUUCUCCCUGUGUCCUCACACAGUUGUCCCUCGAAACCCAUGCUAUGGACAGCCCUAUGGAAAAAGCAACCUGGAGAAGAAUUUUAGCCUCCCAAGCAUCACCAUAGUUGUCCUUUGGAAGAAGAUCAUCCAGCUCAAGUUCAGUCUCAAAUGACUGCACCCCCAGCUGACAACUGGACUGCACCAGAAUCAAUCACCUGAACUGCUCACCAAGUCCCAACCUAAAGAAGACAGGAGAAGGUCACUUGAGGGUCAUGAAAAAAUUUGCAGAAGGAAUGAAUGCCUUGAAGGACGUUGCGACCAGCUGCUGAUACCCAGGAAUCUGGUUGCUCAAGAUGUUACCUGAGAAUAAAGAAACGCAGACUUUUCCCCCUCACUUCCCUGAAACUGCCUCUCCUUUACUCCUUAGCUACCUAAAAACUCACUGCUUCCUCUUUUUGUUAAGAUGGAUUUGAGACAUCUUGCUCUCCCAACUUCUUGCUUUGACCAAAUUGAAUAAAUCUUGUUUGAUCUCCA
This 1601-nucleotide long non-coding RNA is filed under the name Homo sapiens (human). RNAcentral's name for it is "HSALNT0279879". The record is from RNAcentral. Lineage: Eukaryota; Metazoa; Chordata; Mammalia; Primates; Hominidae.